This 257-nucleotide long non-coding RNA is filed under the name Trifolium pratense (red clover). RNAcentral describes it as "long non-coding RNA (TPRA_LNC012681)". The record is from RNAcentral. Lineage: Eukaryota; Viridiplantae; Streptophyta; Magnoliopsida; Fabales; Fabaceae.
UCCCUAAACUAUCACUCUCUCACCAACUUAGUCGCUAAACUAUUAAAACCAACUAAAAGGUCCCUAAACUAUAUUCACAUCCUUCAAUUUAGUCCCUAAACUAUUUUCCAUCCAUCAAUUUAUUCCUCCGUUAUAUUUUCCUUUAACUGUUCUUUAAAACCCUAAAAUCCAAAAGCUACUUUUACGCUUAUAUCUCUCUUCUCGAUCAACUCUCUCAAAUCAUCUCAAUUUGAAAACCCUAGCGCCACCUAUACNNN